Molecule: ribosomal RNA, 392 nt
Filed under: uncultured Gammaproteobacteria bacterium
Lineage: Bacteria; Pseudomonadati; Pseudomonadota; Gammaproteobacteria
Description: bacterial SSU rRNA
Rfam family: Bacterial small subunit ribosomal RNA
Source: RNAcentral
AAUGGGCGCAAGCCUGAUCCAGCCAUGCCGCGUGAGUGAUGAAGGCCCUAGGGUCGUAAAGCUCUUUCGCCAGGGAUGAUAAUGACAGUACCUGGUAAAGAAACCCCGGCUAACUCCGUGCCAGCAGCCGCGGUAAUACGGAGGGGGUUAGCGUUGCUCGGAAUUACUGGGCGUAAAGCGCGCGUAGGCGGAUUAGUCAGUUAGAGGUGAAAUCCCGGGGCUCAACCCCGGAACUGCCUUUAAUACUGCUAGUCUUGAGUUCGAGAGAGGUGAGUGGAAUUCCGAGUGUAGAGGUGAAAUUCGUAGAUAUUCGGAGGAACACCAGUGGCGAAGGCGGCUCACUGGCUCGAUACUGACGCUGAGGUGCGAAAGUGUGGGGAGCAAACAGGAUU